UGUGUAGGCGGUUGCUUAAGUUUGGUGUGAAAUCUCCCGGCUCAACUGGGAGGGUGCGCCGAAUACUGAGUGACUCGAGUGCGGGAGAGGAGAGUGGAAUUCCUGGUGUAGCGGUGAAAUGCGUAGAUAUCAGGAGGAACACCGGUGGUGUAGACGGCUCUCUGGACCGUAACUGACGCUGAGACACGAAAGCGUGGGUAGCAAACAGGAUUAGAUACCCUGGUAGUCCACACCCUAAACGAUGCAUAUUUGGUGUGGGCAGUUCAGUCUGUCCGUGCCGGAGCUAACGCGUUAAAUAUGCCGCCUGGGGAGUACAGUCGCAAGGCUGAA
Molecule: ribosomal RNA, 330 nt
Filed under: uncultured bacterium
Lineage: Bacteria
Description: bacterial SSU rRNA
Rfam family: Bacterial small subunit ribosomal RNA
Source: RNAcentral